UACAGAGACCUCAAGCGUUAUCCGGAAUCAUUGGGCGUAAAGCGUACCGAUAGGUGGUUUUGAUAGUUUUGGGUAAAAGCCAGAAGCUCAACUUCUGCGUUUGCUCAAAAUACUUCAAGACUAGAGGGACAAAGAGGUUGCUGGAACAAACGGUGUAGUAGUGAAAUGCGUUGAUAUCGUUUGGAACACCGAAAGUGAAGGCAGGCAACUGGGUGUCACCUGACACUGCUAGGACGAAAGCGUGGGGAGCGAAUGGG
This 257-nucleotide ribosomal RNA is filed under the name uncultured bacterium. RNAcentral's name for it is "partial 16S ribosomal RNA". It matches the Rfam family "Bacterial small subunit ribosomal RNA", at positions 524 to 776 of the family's 1533-position model. The record is from RNAcentral.